AUGGGCGCAAGCCUGAUGCAGCGACGCCGCGUGAGGGAUGGAGGCCUUCGGGUUGUAAACCUCUUUCGCCAGUGAAGCAGGCCUGUCCCUUUUGUGGGUGGGUUGACGGUAGCUGGAUAAGAAGCGCCGGCUAACUACGUGCCAGCAGCCGCGGUAAUACGUAGGGCGCGAGCGCUGUCCGGAAUUAUUGGGCGUAAAGAGCUCGUAGGCGGCUGGUCGCGUCUGUCGUGAAAUCCUCUGGCUUAACUGGGGGCUUGCGGUGGGUACGGGCCGGCUUGAGUGCGGUAGGGGAGACUGGAACUCCUGGUGUAGCGGUGGAAUGCGCAGAUAUCAGGAAGAACACCGGUGGCGAAGGCGGGUCUCUGGGCCGUUACUGACGCUGAGGAGCGAAAGCGUGGGGAGCGAACAGGAUUAGAUACCCUGGUAGCCCACGCCGUAAACGUUGGGCACUAGGUGUGGGGGGCCUUUUCCGGGUCUUCCGCGCCGUAGCUAACGCAUUAAGUGCCCCGCCUGGGGAGUACGGCCGCAAGGCUAAAACUCAAAGGAAUUGACGGGGGCCCGCACAAGCGGCGGAGCAUGCGGAUUAAUUCGAUGCAACGCGAAGAACCUUACCAAGGCUUGACAUGUGCCGGUCGGCUCCGGAGACGGGGUUUCCUCC
RNAcentral lists this ribosomal RNA (658 nucleotides) under Actinomyces sp. oral taxon 175. RNAcentral describes it as "bacterial SSU rRNA". It matches the Rfam family "Bacterial small subunit ribosomal RNA", at positions 371 to 1019 of the family's 1533-position model. Lineage: Bacteria; Bacillati; Actinomycetota; Actinomycetes; Actinomycetales; Actinomycetaceae. The record is from RNAcentral.